RNAcentral lists this ribosomal RNA (253 nucleotides) under uncultured bacterium. RNAcentral describes it as "partial 16S ribosomal RNA". It matches the Rfam family "Bacterial small subunit ribosomal RNA", at positions 524 to 776 of the family's 1533-position model. The record is from RNAcentral.
UACGUAGGGUGCAAGCGUUGUCCGGAUUUAUUGGGUUUAAAGGGUGCGUAGGCGGCCCUGUAAGUCAGUGCUGAAAUAUCCCAGCUUAACUGGGAGGGUGGCAUUGAUACUGCGGGGCUAGAGUACAGAUGAGGUAGGCGGAAUUGACGGUGUAGCGGUGAAAUGCUUAGAUAUCGUCAAGAACACCUAUAGCGAAGGCAGCUUACUAGGCUGUAACUGACGCUGAGGCACGAAAGUGUGGGGAUCAAACAGG